UAACUAUUCAAGCUCUUUAUUGUUUUUCUUAUGCACCUCUGACUUGCCCUUGUACAACCUGUACACUGAAACCUGCAAAACUGGGAAUAAGGGAGAGGGAUGAGCUCUAUAGCCCAGUGAGUAGAACAAUAAAACCUGUCAUUAAAACAUGAUCUUAUGGAAUGCAUCAUAUCACAGACAAUUCACAUCUAGGGUAAACCUGUCACCACAUAGUCCCAGUAUCUAAUCC
RNAcentral lists this long non-coding RNA (229 nucleotides) under Manihot esculenta (cassava). Its description in RNAcentral is "long non-coding RNA (MESC_LNC007284)". Lineage: Eukaryota; Viridiplantae; Streptophyta; Magnoliopsida; Malpighiales; Euphorbiaceae. The record is from RNAcentral.